GUGACAGAUAUAGGGGAGUCCAGGGGAGUCUCAUCACGCGCAGGUGUGAACCAACGGGAGUGACAGAUAUAGGGGAGUCCAGGGGAGUCUCAUCACGCGCAGGUGUGAACUAAUGGGAGUGACAGAUAUAGGGGAGUCCAGGGAGUCUCAUCACGCGCAGGUGUGAACUAAUGGGAGUGACAGAUAUAGGGGAGUCCAGGGAGUCUCAUCACGCGCAGGUGUGAACCAAUGGGAGUGACAGAUAUAGGGGAGUCCAGGGGAGUCUCAUCACGCGCAGGUGUGAACCAACGGGAGUGACAGAUAUAGGGGAGUCCAGGGGAGUCUCAUGAUGCGCAGGUGUGAACUAAUGGGAGUGACAGAUAUAGGGGAGUCCAGGGGAGUCUCAUGAUGCGCAGGUGUGAACCAACGGGAGUGACAGAUAUAGGGGAGUCCAGGGGAGUCUGGACGGCGGCAGGUGUGUGUAACGAUGGCGGCAGGUGUGUGUAACGAUGGUGACAGGUGUGUGUAACGAUGGUGACAGGUGUGCGUAACGAUGGUGACAGGUGUGCGUAACGAUGGUGACAGGUGUGUGUAACGAUGGUGACAGGUGUGUGUAACGAUGGUGACAGGUGUGUGUAACGAUGGUGACAG
This is a long non-coding RNA of Oncorhynchus tshawytscha (Chinook salmon), 630 nucleotides long. The record is from Ensembl. NCBI's taxonomy places the organism in Eukaryota, Metazoa, Chordata, Actinopteri, Salmoniformes, Salmonidae.